This 467-nucleotide ribosomal RNA is filed under the name uncultured bacterium. Its description in RNAcentral is "partial 16S ribosomal RNA". It matches the Rfam family "Bacterial small subunit ribosomal RNA", at positions 28 to 506 of the family's 1533-position model. The record is from RNAcentral.
GACGAACGCUGGCGGCGUGCUUAACACAUGCAAGUCGAACGGAAAGGCCCUGCUUUUGUGGGGUGCUCGAGUGGCGAACGGGUGAGUAACACGUGAGUAACCUGCCCUUGACUUUGGGAUAACUUCAGGAAACUGGGGCUAAUACCGGAUAGGAGCUCCUGCUGCAUGGUGGGGGUUGGAAAGUUUCGGCGGUUGGGGAUGGACUCGCGGCUUAUCAGCUUGUUGGUGGGGUAGUGGCUUACCAAGGCUUUGACGGGUAGCCGGCCUGAGAGGGUGACCGGCCACAUUGGGACGGAGAUACGGCCCAGACUCCUACGGGAGGCAGCGGUGGGGAAUAUUGCACAAUGGGCGGAAGCCUGAUGCAGCAACGCCGCGUGCGGGAUGACGGCCUUCGGGUUGUAAACCGCUUUCGCCUGUGACGAAGCGUGAGUGACGGUAAUGGGUAAAGAAGCACCGGCUAACUACGG